Molecule: signal recognition particle RNA, 299 nt
Filed under: Callithrix jacchus (white-tufted-ear marmoset)
Lineage: Eukaryota; Metazoa; Chordata; Mammalia; Primates; Cebidae
Description: Metazoan signal recognition particle RNA (ENSCJAG00000080038.1)
Rfam family: Metazoan signal recognition particle RNA
About the family: The signal recognition particle (SRP) is a universally conserved ribonucleoprotein. It is involved in the co-translational targeting of proteins to membranes.
Source: Rfam by way of RNAcentral
UCCGGGCGUGUUGGUGCGUGCCUGCAGUCCCAGCUACUCCAGAGGCUGUGGCUGGAGGAUCGUUUGAGCCCAGGAGUUCUGGGCUGUAGUGCUCUAUGCCGAUCGGGUGUCAGCACUAAGUUUGGCAUCAAUAUGGUGACCUCUGGGAGGGGGGGACCACCAGGUUGCCUAAGGAGGGGUGAACCGGCCCAGGUCGGAAAUGGAGCAGGUCAAAAUUCCCGUGCUGAUCAGAAGUGGGAUCACGCCUGUGAAUAGCCACUGCACUCCAGCCUGGGCAACAUAGCGAGACUCCGUCUCUU